Molecule: ribosomal RNA, 497 nt
Filed under: uncultured bacterium
Lineage: Bacteria
Description: partial 16S ribosomal RNA
Rfam family: Bacterial small subunit ribosomal RNA
Source: RNAcentral
GAUGAACGCUGGCGGCGUGCCUAAUACAUGCAAGUCGAGCGAACAGACGAGGAGCUUGCUCCUCUGACGUUAGCGGCGGACGGGUGAGUAACACGUGGAUAACCUACCUUUAAGACUGGGAUAACUUCGGGAAACCGGAGCUAAUACCGGAUAAUAUAUUGAACCGCAUGGUUCAAUAGUGAAAGACGGUUUUGCUGUCACUUAUAGAUGGAUCCGCGCCGCAUUAGCUAGUUGGUAAGGUAACGGCUUACCAAGGCGACGAUGCGUAGCCGACCUGAGAGGGUGAACGAGCACACUGGAACUGGGGAACGGUCCAGGAUCCUACGGGAAGCAACAGGAGGGAAUCUUCCGCAAUGGGCGGAAACCUGGCGGAGGAACGCCGCGGUAGUGAUGGAAGUCUUCGGAGCGGAAAACUCUGUUAGUAGGGAAAGACAAAUGUGAAAUUAACUAUGCGCUGCUUGACGGUACCUAAUCAGAUAGGCACGGCUAACUACGUU